GACGAACGCUGGCGGCGUGCUUAACACAUGCAAGUCGAACGGAAAGGCCCUGCUUUUGUGGGGUGCUCGAGUGGCGAACGGGUGAGUAACACGUGAGUAACCUGCCCUUGACUUUGGGAUAACUUCAGGAAACUGGGGCUAAUACCGGAUAGGAGCUCCUGCUGCAUGGUGGGGGGUGGAAAGUUUCGGCGGUUGAGGAUGGACUCGCGGCUUAUCAGCUUGUUGGUGGGGUAGUGGCUUACCAAGGCUUUGACGGGUAGCCGGCCUGAGAGGGUGACCGGCCACAUUGGGACUGAGAUACGGCCCAGACUCCUACGGGAGGCAGCAGUGGGGAAUAUUGCACAAUGGGCGGAAGCCUGAUGCAGCAACGCCGCGUGCGGGAUGACGGCCUUCGGGUUGUAAACCGCUUUCGCCUGUGACGAAGCGUGAGUGACGGUAAUGGGUAAAGAAGCACCGGCUAACUACGUG
This 468-nucleotide ribosomal RNA is filed under the name uncultured bacterium. Its description in RNAcentral is "partial 16S ribosomal RNA". It matches the Rfam family "Bacterial small subunit ribosomal RNA", at positions 28 to 507 of the family's 1533-position model. The record is from RNAcentral.